Molecule: ribosomal RNA, 496 nt
Filed under: uncultured bacterium
Lineage: Bacteria
Description: partial 16S ribosomal RNA
Rfam family: Bacterial small subunit ribosomal RNA
Source: RNAcentral
GAUGAACGCUGGCGGCGUGCCUAAUACAUGCAAGUCGAGCGAACAGACGAGGAGCUUGCUCCUCUGACGUUAGCGGCGGACGGGUGAGUAACACGUGGAUAACCUACCUAUAAGACUGGGAUAACUUCGGGAAACCGGAGCUAAUACCGGAUAAUAUAUUGAACCGCAUGGUUCAAUAGUGAAAGACGGUUUUGCUGUCACUUAUAGAUGGAUCCGCGCCGCAUUAGCUAGUUGGUAAGGUAACGGCUUACCAAGGCGACGAUGCGUAGCCGACCUGAGAGGGGGAAGGGCAAAAAGGGAAUGAGAAAAGGGCCCAAAACACAAGGGGAGGAAGAAGAGGGGAAACUUCGCAAAGGGGGGAAAGCCGAAGGGGGAAACGCCGGGGGGGGGAAGAAGGGUUGCGGAUGGUAAAACUUUGUUAUAAGGAAAAAAAAAAGGGGAAAGUAACAAUGCAGGUCUUGAGGGUCCUAAAAAAAAAAGCCACGGCUAACUACGG